Molecule: non-coding RNA, 91 nt
Filed under: Candidatus Ruminococcus intestinipullorum
Lineage: Bacteria; Bacillati; Bacillota; Clostridia; Eubacteriales; Oscillospiraceae
Source: RNAcentral
AAGGGGGAGCUUGUUUUACAGGCUGAGAGGAAGUUGGAAACUUCGACCCAUAACCUGAUGUGGAUAAUGCCAACGAAGGGAUGUGUUAUAG